Molecule: ribosomal RNA, 253 nt
Filed under: uncultured bacterium
Lineage: Bacteria
Description: partial 16S ribosomal RNA
Rfam family: Bacterial small subunit ribosomal RNA
Source: RNAcentral
UACAGAGGGGGCAAGCGUUGUUCGGAAUUACUGGGCGUAAAGGGCGCGUAGGCGGCCUUCUAAGUCAUACGUGAAAUCCCCGGGCUCAACCCGGGUACUGCGUCCGAUACUGGAAGGCUUGAAUCCGGGAGAGGGAUGCGGAAUUCCAGGUGUAGCGGUGAAAUGCGUAGAUAUCUGGAGGAACACCGGUGGCGAAGGCGGCAUCCUGGACCGGUAUUGACGCUGAGGCGCGAAAGCCAGGGGAGCAAACGGG